UACGGAGGGGGCCAGCGUUGUUCGGAAUCAUUGGGCGUAAAGGGCGCGUAGGCGGCCGAUCAAGUCGGAGGUGAAAUCCCUCGGCUCAACUGAGGAAUUGCCUCCGAUACUGUUCGGCUUGAGUCCCGGAGAGGGUAGUGGAAUUCCGAGUGUAGCGGUAAAAUGCGUAGAGACUCGGAAGAACACCAGUGGCGAAGGCGGCUACCUGGACGGGUACUGACGCUGAGGCGCGAAAGCUAGGGGAGCAAACAGG
This 253-nucleotide ribosomal RNA is filed under the name uncultured Acidobacteriota bacterium. RNAcentral describes it as "uncultured Acidobacteria bacterium partial 16S ribosomal RNA". It matches the Rfam family "Bacterial small subunit ribosomal RNA", at positions 524 to 776 of the family's 1533-position model. Lineage: Bacteria; Pseudomonadati; Acidobacteriota. The record is from RNAcentral.